CUCUAUUUAUAGCUCUUCCACUUUCCUAUCCUCCUCCAUAAGAGAACUAAAUUCUAGCUUCCUUCGUUGAAUUGCAAAAAAGAUAAAAGAAAAAUGGAAGGACAAGCUCGUAGCAGCGGAAAAGAAAAAGAAAAAGUAUGGAUACCUGUAUUUUCUUUGUUUCUUUGUUUCUAACAUGUUACCAACUAACUCUUCUCCUUUCCCUCUUUAAACUCUCAUUUGCAGGAAACAGAGGAAGAAACCCAUGCAGAGGUCCUGGUUGGACAAAGGCAGAGAGUUACUUUAGACAUCAUUCAUGCAGCCAACGCUGUGGACUUAUUUCAGGCAAAUAUGAACAAUUGGCAUGGACCUGUAGUGAUGUUGGAAAGUAACGAGAAAAACUACGACAUCAAGAUCAGUGGCCUGAAAGCAAUGUAUGAAGAUGUUACCUUUGAGCAGUAGCAUUAGAGGGGGAGUAGUAAGGUGUUAGUGACUUUAAGCGGAAGAACAAGUAGUUUUCUGCUCUGUGUAUUGGGGUGUGUGUGUCUAGUCUGUGUUUUUCUUUCCUAAUAACCGUGCUUGUGUCAGUAUAUAUGUAUGUAUGUAUGUAUGUUUCAUACAUGAGACUGAUUGUGCGUGUGUGUUCUUUUUUUUUUCUCCUCGAUUAUAUGCACGCAUUUAAUAACUUAAUUCCUGUUAUCUUUAUGAUUUAGUAAGGCACUGUGCAUUAAUUAAUUGAAUUAUAUGCUUUAGUUCCUGCUAUGUUUUGCAAACAAGAUCCAAAAGGCAUGGAGUAGACAGUGGAAAACGAAAUCAGAACUUGACUCGUUUAAUUAAUGCAUAGUGCCUUACUAAAUCAUAAAGAUAACGGGAAUUAAGUUAUUAAACGCGCGCAUACAGUCGAGGAGAAAAAAAAUCACACACGCACAAUCAGUCUCAUGCAUGAAACAUACAUACAUACAUGCUGACACAAGCACGAUUAUUAGGAAAGAAAAACACAGACUAGACAUACACACCCAACACACACAGAGCAACAAACUACUUGUUCUUCUGCUUAAAGUCAAUAACACCUUACUACUCCCCCUCUAAUGCUACUACUCAAAGGUAACAUCUUCAUGCUUUGCUUUUAGGCCACUGAUCUUAAUGUCGUAGUUUUUUCUCGUUACUUUCCAACACCACUACAAUUCCACGCCAGUUGUUCUAAUUUGCUAGAAAUAAGUCCACGACAUUAGCUGCAUGAAUGCUGUCUAUAAUAAUUCUCUGCCUUUUGUCCAAUCACUACCUCUGCAUGGGUUUCUUCCUCCAUUUCCUGCAAAUGAGAGUUUAAAGAGGGAAAGGAGAAGAGUUAGUUGGUAACAUGUUAGAAACAAAGAAACAAAGAAAAUACAGCUAUCCAUACUUUUCCUUUUCCGCUGCUGCUAGCUUGUCCUUCCAUUUUUCUUUUAUCUUUUUUGCAAUUCAACGAAGGAAGCUAGAAUUUAGUUCUCUUAUGGAGGAUAGGGAAGUGGAAGAGCUAUAAAUAGAGGGAUCAGGGAAUUGCAAACAAAACAAAAGAUGGCAACAACGGAAAAGGAAAAGGAAAAGCUAAGGCAAAAAUGGACGAUUACUUGGCAGAGGAGACCAACAUGGACUCUGUACUUUUUCUCGAGCACAAGAGUCUUGACUUAGUUGUAGAGAAACAAAAGAGCAUGCUGGAACAAGCUGAGGGCGCUGAAACAAAGAAAGCAAAAGAGGUGGCAGAUCACAGAUACCAUCGUACUGUUGUGGCAUGCAUGCAGUAGACAACCAGAAUGUUUUUGUUGAGCAUAAGCCAGAUUGGAGUGGCACAAUAGAUGUCAAGUCUAGCAACGAGGAGAAGGGUUACUACAAGAGGGUUGGGAAGCUUGAGAAGGAGCAUAAAUGUGUUAUUGACUUUAAGCGGAAGAACAAGUAGUGUUUUGCUCUCCCUGUGUGUGUCUAGUCUGUGUUUUUCUUUCCUAAUAAUCGUGCUUGUGUCAGUAUGUAUGUACAUAUAUUUCAUGCAUGAGACUGAUUGUGCGUGUGUUUUUUUUUCCUUCUCGAUUGUAUGCGCGCGUUUAAUAACUUAAUCUUUAUGAUUUAGUAA
Non-coding RNA from Nicotiana tabacum (common tobacco), 2083 nucleotides. NCBI's taxonomy places the organism in Eukaryota, Viridiplantae, Streptophyta, Magnoliopsida, Solanales, Solanaceae. The record is from RefSeq and is a predicted model, not a curated record.